GAGGGGUGUUGGGGGUGUAGAGAUGUGUACAUGGGUGGCAGAGUGGUUUAGAGGAGUGUAUAUGAGUGUUAGAUGGGUGUAAAUGGGUGAAAGGGGGCGUAGGGGGUGACAGAGUGGUGUACAUUGGUGACAGAGAGGUGUUGGGGGUGUAGAGGAGUGUACGUGGGUGGCAGAGGAGCGCAGAGUAGUAUACAUGGAUAACAGAAGGGUGUAGGGGUGUACAUUGGUGAUAGAAGGGUGUAGAGGAGUGUACAUGGGUGACGGAGGAGCUUUGAGGAGUGUACAUGGGUAACAGAUGGGUGUAGAGGGGUGUACAUGGGUGACAGAGCGGUGUAGAGGAGUGUACAUGGGUGACAGAGGGGUGUAGAGGAGUAUACAUGGGUGACAGAGGGGUGUAGAGUAGUGUACAUGGGUGACAGAGGGGUGUAGAGGAGUGUACAUGGGUAACAGAGUAGUGAAGAGGAGUGUACAGAGGCCUACAUUACCAUUACUUGAUUAACUGUUGUAUAUUAUAUAAAACAUUUAGAUAAAAUAUAUUACAAAAAUAUACAUUAUAUUUUAAGUUCCUUUUUCCCCUCCUUUUUCUAUAAUUCCUGAGAUAAGUAGUUCUGGCCCUAGAGUGUUAUAUAUAUAUUAGCGUCUGUAGCAUGUAUCAGGAACAUGUUAUCAUACCUGUGUCUUUUUUACAGAGGACUAAUGCCCGGUGAAAAGGUGAACGUGUCAUAUACCCCCGUCAGCUGCAAGAAAGGAACCACGAAACAGAUGACUGAAGCCCGGUGAAAAGGUGAACGUGACAUAUACCCCCGUCAGCUCCAAGAAAGGAACCACGAAACAGAUGACUGAUGCCCGGUGAAAAGGUGAGCGUGACAUAUACCCUCGUCAGCUGCAAGAAAGGAACCACGAAAUAGGUAAUUAAU
Hyla sarda is the source of this 917-nucleotide long non-coding RNA. RefSeq lists it as uncharacterized. Lineage: Eukaryota; Metazoa; Chordata; Amphibia; Anura; Hylidae. The transcript has 3 exons. The record is from RefSeq and is a predicted model, not a curated record.